UACGAAGGGGGCUAGCGUUGUUCGGAAUUACUGGGCGUAAAGCGCACGUAGGCGGCCUUGUAAGUUGGGGGUGAAAUCCCGGGGCUCAACCUCGGAAUUGCCUUCAAGACUGCAGGGCUCGAGUUCGGGAGAGGUGAGUGGAAUUCCCAGUGUAGAGGUGAAAUUCGUAGAGAUUGGGAAGAACACCAGUGGCGAAGGCGGCUCACUGGCCCGUAACUGACGCUGAGGUGCGAAAGCGUGGGGAGCAAACACG
RNAcentral lists this ribosomal RNA (253 nucleotides) under uncultured bacterium. RNAcentral describes it as "partial 16S ribosomal RNA". It matches the Rfam family "Bacterial small subunit ribosomal RNA", at positions 524 to 776 of the family's 1533-position model. The record is from RNAcentral.